This 589-nucleotide ribosomal RNA is filed under the name uncultured bacterium. RNAcentral describes it as "partial 16S ribosomal RNA". It matches the Rfam family "Bacterial small subunit ribosomal RNA", at positions 355 to 938 of the family's 1533-position model. The record is from RNAcentral.
UGGGGAAUAUUGGACAAUGGGCGCAAGCCUGAUCCAGCCAUACCGCGUGGGUGAAGAAGGCCUUCGGGUUGUAAAGCCCUUUUGUUGGGAAAGAAAUCCAGCUGGUUAAUACCCGGUUGGGAUGACGGUACCCAAAGAAUAAGCACCGGCUAACUUCGUGCCAGCAGCCGCGGUAAUACGAAGGGUGCAAGCGUUACUCGGAAUUACUGGGCGUAAAGCGUGCGUAGGUGGUCGUUUAAGUCUGUUGUGAAAGCCCUGGGCUCAACCUGGGAACUGCAGCGGAAACUGGACGACUAGAGUGUGGUAGAGGGUAGCGGAAUUCCUGGUGUAGCAGUGAAAUGCGUAGAGAUCAGGAGGAACAUCCAUGGCGAAGGCAGCUACCUGGACCAACACUGACACUGAGGCACGAAAGCGUGGGGAGCAAACAGGAUUAGAUACCCUGGUAGUCCACGCCCUAAAACGAUGCGAACUGGAUGUUGGGUGCAAUUUGGCACGCAGUAUCGAAGCUAACGCGUUAAGUUCGCCGCCUGGGGAGUACGGUCGCAAGACUGAAACUUAAAUGAAUUGACGGGGUCAUAGCUGUUUCCGU